This 1109-nucleotide ribosomal RNA is filed under the name uncultured Termite group 1 bacterium. RNAcentral's name for it is "bacterial SSU rRNA". It matches the Rfam family "Bacterial small subunit ribosomal RNA", at positions 231 to 1354 of the family's 1533-position model. The record is from RNAcentral. Lineage: Bacteria; Pseudomonadati; Elusimicrobiota.
CUGCGGCCUAUCAGGUUGUUGGUGGGGUAACGGCCUACCAAGCCUAUGACGGGUAUCCGGCCUGAAAGGGUGAACGGACACACUGGAACUGAGACACGGUCCAGACUCCUACGGGAGGCAGCAGUGGGGAAUUUUGGACAAUGGGGGAAACCCUGAUCCAGCGACGCCGCGUGGAGGACGAAGGCCUUCGGGUUGUAAACUCCUUUUAGAGGGGAAGAAAAAAAUGACGGUACCCUCAGAAAAAGCCACGGCUAACUACGUGCCAGCAGCCGCGGUAAUACGUAGGUGGCGAGCGUUACUCGGAAUUACUAGGCGUAAAGCGUAUGUAGGCGGUUAGAUAAGUCUUUGGUGAAAUUUCCCGGCUCAACCGGGAAACUGCCAAGGAUACUGUUUGACUUGAGUGUGGGAGGGGGAGAUGGAAUUCCUGGUGUAGCGGUGAAAUGCGUAGAUAUCAGGAGGAACACCGAUGGCGAAAGCAGUCUCCUGGCCCAAUACUGACGCUAAUGUACGAAAGCUAGGGUAGCAAACAGGAUUAGAUACCCUGGUAGUCCUAGCUGUAAACGAUGUUCACUAGAUGUGGGAGGUAUCGACCCCUUCCGCGUCGACGCUAACGCAUUAAGUGAACCGCCUGGGGAGUACGGCCGCAAGGUUGAAACUCAAAGGAAUUGACGGGGGCCCGCACAAGCGGUGGAGUAUGUGGUUUAAUUCGACGCAACGCGAAAAACCUUACCUGGGCUUGAACUUUUAGUGGUAAAAACCGGAAACGGCGAUGACCCGCAAGGGAGCUAAGAGAGGUGCUGCAUGGCUGUCGUCAGCUCGUGUCGUGAGAUGUUGGGUUAAGUCCCGCAACGAGCGCAACCCUUACCCCAUGUUACCUGUAGCAAUACAGGGUCUCUGAGGGAACUGCCAUUGAUAAAAUGGAGGAAGGUGGGGACGACGUCAAGUCAUCAUGGCCUUUAUGUCCAGGGCUACACACGUACUACAAUGGUCGGUACAGAGGGCAGCGAUAUCGCAAGGUGGAGCAAAUCCCUAAAAGCCGGCCUCAGUUCAGAUUGUGGGCUGCAAUUCGCCCACAUGAAGUAGGAAUCGCUAGUAAUCGCAGAUCAGCA